This 608-nucleotide ribosomal RNA is filed under the name uncultured bacterium. RNAcentral's name for it is "bacterial SSU rRNA". It matches the Rfam family "Bacterial small subunit ribosomal RNA", at positions 28 to 657 of the family's 1533-position model. The record is from RNAcentral.
GAUGAACGCUGGCGGCGUGCUUAACACAUGCAAGUCGAACGCAUCUUUUCUUCGGAAGGGGUGAGUGGCAGACGGGUGCGUAACACGUGGGUGACCUGCCUCGGAGUGGGGAAUAACUAUCCUAACGGAUGGCUAAUACCGCAUAGGCUCGGCGCUUCAGUGCGUUGAGUAAAGUCGCAAGACGCUUCGAGAUGGGCCUGCGGCGGAUUAGGUAGUUGGUGGGGUAAUGGCCUACCAAGCCGAUGAUCCGUAGGGGGCGUGAGAGCGUGGCCCCCCACACUGGCACUGAGAUACGGGCCAGACUCCUACGGGAGGCAGCAGUGAGGAAUAUUGCACAAUGGGCGCAAGCCUGAUGCAGCAACGCCGCGUGAGGGACGAAGGCCUUCGGGUCGUAAACCUCUUUUUUGAGGGACGAGAUCAGGACGGUACCUCAAGAAUAAGUCUCGGCUAACUACGUGCCAGCAGCCGCGGUAAAACGUAGGAGGCGAGCGUUAUCCGGAUUUACUGGGCGUAAAGCGCGCGCAGGCGGCUUCGUUAGUCGGAUGUGAAAGCUCCUGGCUUAACUGGGAGAGGCCAUUCGAUACUGCGAGGCUUGAGUAUGGGAGAGG